RNAcentral lists this ribosomal RNA (492 nucleotides) under uncultured bacterium. RNAcentral's name for it is "partial 16S ribosomal RNA". It matches the Rfam family "Bacterial small subunit ribosomal RNA", at positions 29 to 507 of the family's 1533-position model. The record is from RNAcentral.
AGUGAACGCUGGCGGUAGGCCUAACACAUGCAAGUCGAACGGCAGCACAGUAAGAGCUUGCUCUUACGGGUGGCGAGUGGCGGACGGGUGAGGAAUACAUCGGAAUCUACUUUUUCGUGGGGGAUAACGUAGGGAAACUACGGUUAAAACGCCAAACAACCAAGGGGUGAAGCAAGGGGUCCUCCGAACUUUCCCCACUGAAUUAACCCAAGUUCGGUUUAGCUAGUUGGCGGGGAAAAGGCCCACCAUGGCGACGAUCCGUACCUGGUCGGAGAGGAGAAUGAGCCACAAUGGAACUGAGACACGGUCCCGACCCCUACGGGAGGCAGCAGUGGGGAAUAUUGGACAAUGGGCGCAAGCCUGAUCCAGCCAUACCGCGUGGGUGAAGAAGGCCUUCGGGUUGUAAAGCCCUUUUGUUGGGAAAGAAAAGCAGCAGGUUAAUACCCCGCUGUUCUGACGGUACCCAAAGAAUAAGCACCGGCUAACUUCGUG